GGGAUAUACCCUCAGGAAACAUGAUUCAUACCUACGCUGCCUUCUUUUUUAGUAGCUCCUGUGAGACCAGCUGCUAUUGAUUAUGUUCAUCCUGUCCUACACCCUAAUCCAGGAAAGACACCUCUCUUUGUUCUGUGAGAGGAAACCUGGAUCCAAACUGGGAUUCUGGCCUAAUCUGUGCAAUGAGAGAGGUUGGGUGC
This is a long non-coding RNA of Pipra filicauda (Wire-tailed manakin), 200 nucleotides long. RefSeq lists it as uncharacterized. The record is from RefSeq and is a predicted model, not a curated record. NCBI's taxonomy places the organism in Eukaryota, Metazoa, Chordata, Aves, Passeriformes, Pipridae. The transcript has 3 exons.